UGGAGCCUGCAGUGACCAUCUCCCCAGCUAAGACAGAGGUCAGCCAUCACAAUUUGCUGGUCUGUUUGGUGACAAAUUUCUUUCCUUGCCAAGUGAAACUCAGAUGGUUCCAGAAAAAACAGGAGCAGACUGCUGGAGUUGUAUCCACACCUAUUCAGAAUAGGGAUUAGACCUACCAGAUUCUUGUAAUGCUAGAAAUAAUACCCGAGCAUGGAGAUGUCUACACCUACCAUCUGGAGCACCCCAGCCUCCAGAGCCCCAUCACGGUAGAAUGACGGACACUGUCUGAAUCUGCCCAGAGGAAGAUGCUGAGUGGCCUUCGGGGUCUUGUGCUGGGGCUGAUCUCUCUUGGUUUG
This 356-nucleotide long non-coding RNA is filed under the name Homo sapiens (human). Its description in RNAcentral is "long non-coding RNA NONHSAT118511.2". Lineage: Eukaryota; Metazoa; Chordata; Mammalia; Primates; Hominidae. The record is from RNAcentral.